This 419-nucleotide ribosomal RNA is filed under the name uncultured bacterium. RNAcentral's name for it is "bacterial SSU rRNA". It matches the Rfam family "Bacterial small subunit ribosomal RNA", at positions 140 to 575 of the family's 1533-position model. The record is from RNAcentral.
GGGAUAACAGUUCGAAAGGACUGCUAAUACCGCAUGUGGUCAUCGGAUUUAGAAACCGAUGUCUAAAGCAGCAAUGCGCUUUGGGAGGGACCUGCGUCCCAUCAGCUAGUUGGUAGGGUAACGGCCUACCAAGGCGACGACGGGUAGGGGACCUGAGAGGGUGACCCCCCACAAUGGAACUGAAACACGGUCCAUACACCUACGGGUGGCAGCAGUAGGGAAUAUUGCACAAUGGGCGAAAGCCUGAUGCAGCAACGCCGCGUGCACGAUGAAGGCCUUCGGGUCGUAAAGUGCUUUUCUGAGAGAUGAGAUAGGACAGUAUCUCAGGAAUAAGUCUCGGCUAACUACGUGCCAGCAGCCGCGGUAAUACGUAGGUGACGAGCGUUGUCCGGAUUUACUGGGCGUAAAGAGCGCGCAGG